RNAcentral lists this ribosomal RNA (253 nucleotides) under uncultured bacterium. RNAcentral's name for it is "partial 16S ribosomal RNA". It matches the Rfam family "Bacterial small subunit ribosomal RNA", at positions 524 to 776 of the family's 1533-position model. The record is from RNAcentral.
GACGAACCGUCCUAACGUUGUUCGGAAUCACUGGGCUUAAAGGGCGCGUAGGCGGCUUGCCAAGUCCGGGGUGAAAUCCUGCAGCUUAACUGUAGAAGGGCCUUGGAUACUGGCGAGCUCGAGGGAGGUAGGGGUAUGUGGAACUUCCGGUGGAGCGGUGAAAUGCGUUGAUAUCGGAAGGAACGCCGGUGGCGAAAGCGACGUACUGGACCUCUUCUGACGCUGAGGAGCGAAAGCGUGGGGAGCGAACAGG